GAUAACUGGCUCGUGGCAGCCAAGUGUUCAUAGCGAUGAUGCUUUUUGAUCCUUCGAUGUCGGCUCUUCUUAUCAUUGUGAAGCAAAAUUCACCAAGUGUUGGAUUGUUCACCCACCAAUAGGAAACGUGAACUGGGUUUAGACAGUCGUGAGACAGGUU
RNAcentral lists this non-coding RNA (160 nucleotides) under Gossypium arboreum. RNAcentral's name for it is "Eukaryotic large subunit ribosomal RNA". It matches the Rfam family "Eukaryotic large subunit ribosomal RNA", at positions 2825 to 2984 of the family's 3401-position model. The record is from Rfam by way of RNAcentral. Lineage: Eukaryota; Viridiplantae; Streptophyta; Magnoliopsida; Malvales; Malvaceae.